GAAUAGUAACUCAUGAAUAGUAACUCGUGAAUAGUAACUCAUGAAUAGUAACCCCGACAUAAAAAAUUCCAAAUUUGAUAAAAAUUCCAACCAAUAUUUCGGCAUAAUGAUAUUGAAGAAAUAAUAUCAUUUUUGAAGAAAAUAACACCCCUUACCUCGAAAGACAGUACUUCUAGUUGAAACACCGGAUAUAGGCUAUGACUUGAACUUGCACCGUAUAGCAAUACUCAAAGUAUACUCAAAGUACUCACAAGAAUAUGUUUGAUAAUAUAGAGAGAGAAAACUUCAGUUU
This 292-nucleotide long non-coding RNA is filed under the name Panax ginseng (ginseng). Its description in RNAcentral is "long non-coding RNA (PGIN_LNC015937)". Lineage: Eukaryota; Viridiplantae; Streptophyta; Magnoliopsida; Apiales; Araliaceae. The record is from RNAcentral.